This 5690-nucleotide long non-coding RNA is filed under the name Penaeus japonicus. RNAcentral describes it as "uncharacterized LOC122262685, transcript variant X1". The record is from RNAcentral. Lineage: Eukaryota; Metazoa; Arthropoda; Malacostraca; Decapoda; Penaeidae.
GACUGGAGAUCCAGUAGUGGAAAUGCAAGAAAGAGCCUCCAGUGGAAUGAGAACUUGAGAAGAUGCAGUGAGGAAAAGAGACAGGGAAAGGAAUGGAGGUCCAGCAGAAGAUAGGCAAGAAAGUUUCCAGUGGAAGGAGAUGCCUAAAAGGAGAGUCUUGUGUUUGGGCAACAAAAUCUGCUGAAGAGCCAUGGACUGAUUGAAGAAUGAAUAUCCAAGAAGCCAACGAAGAGGAAGUGGAAACUGUUUCUUUUGAACAAGUUGAAGGCUAGAAAAGUCUCCAUGGCUCAACAGACGAGUGUGCCCUGGUUAGCAGGAAGUGAGAUGCUGCUUGAGCUUCUUUCACAGUAGGUGGAAAUGGCAGACAAAAUAGCCAAAAUCCAUAAAGUUGGAGGCAACAGUGGGGCUGGAGAGGACAAGGCUGGACUGCUUUAAGCUCUUUUGUUGCAGGUUCUUUGGUUCUUGAAGAAAUCUGGGCAGUCCACAGUAAUUUCAAGACUACAAACGUGCAUAGUCAAGGUUCCAAAGACUUGAGCAGUGAAUUGAUGGGUUUUUCAGACACUGGGAAAAACUCGCAGUGGAAUUGCAAAAGAGAACAUAGAAUAGGAGACCAGAUUGGAAUUUUCUGCAAAACUCGGUAGCAUAAAUUGGCACCAAGUUGGGGGAAGGUAAACAUAAACUUUUGGACUGAAUAUGGAGACAACUAUUAUGAAUUGUCUUCAGCUUACAAGGGUUGAGGAGAGUGCCAAUGCACAGCAGAUGGGAGUGAAUUGUCUGCUGAUGACAAAGAUACCGACAUACAUGACUACCAGGAAAACUGCCAAGAGAAAGAGGAAGGAAAGCAUAGAAUUUACUCCAAAGACAGCAGGUUAUAAGCCUAGAAAAGUCUCCAUAGCUCAACAGAAUGGUGACUCGGGGGAGCAGAAUGUGAGAAACUUCUUGUGCUUCUUUCACCAUGGCUAGAGAGGACUGAAAGCUGGAUUGCUUCAAGCUGUUUUGUUUCAGCUGCAGUGAGGAACAAUGCCUGAUGUUGGGGAAAGGGAUUGAGACAACAUGGAGGUGCAAGAAACUUCAGAGGAAGGUGCUUGGUUAAAGAUGUUCUGAUGGCCUGAAAGGACCAUGUGAAUAUGAAGUUGCUGCUUGUAAUAUAUAAUUGUUUUACCUGGAGGUAUGCAAGUGUCUAGUCUGUCUUCAAGGCCUAGCAGUGAAUGAAGACCAGAACCCAUGUCUCCUUGUUUUCCACAGAUCAAGAGAAGGCAACUGUUUAUAAACGACGGAGGAACUGGAAUGAGACGGUGCAAGUGCGGUGGAAGUCAAUUUUACUGGAAGGUAGGUUUGGGUGUACAAGGAUGGCUCUUCCUCUUCAGUUGAAGACCAGAUGGAUUUGUUGAAAGGGCGUGCCUCCUAUUUUCACAGGUAAGUACCACACUGGAUUUGUCAGUUUGGUUGGAAUUGAAAUUAAGUGAUUUAGUUGCAUUACAAAAGUCAUUUUUGGUAUAAAAAAAAAAAAAAAAAAAAAAAAAAAAACUUGUUAUACACUUACAACUUAAUGUUGUGACCUGUAAAGAUAUAAUUCAGAUUCCUAAAAAAACAUAUCUAAUUGCUUAAGAUCCCUCAUUACCUUGACUUUAUGUUUUGCACAGUUAUGCCCAUCAUAUAUCUUUUUUACAUAACAUUUCCAUAGCAUUGAGUUGUAUGUAUUAGUAGGAUAAAUGGGGAGGAGGUUCAAAAUAGGCCAAAACCCCUUGAAUGUCUAGUUUGAUAUUUUGUUAGUGUGUAAAGCAGAGGGAGUUUUGUUACUGCGUUUGAUAUAUUUGUUAAGGGAAGAUGUUUUCCAUUGGAAUUUUUGUUAAAGUGACUAUUUGAGAAAAUGAAAAAGGUUAAAUGAAUUAACUGAACAAGGAAAACAGGGCAACAGUGAUUAUAAUAUAAAAUGAAAUGAAUAUGAAGAAAUUUUUUUUUUUAAUGAACUUGGACCAACUUCUAUCCAAUGUGCUAGUGGCUGACAAAAAAAACAACAAAAAAACACGGCAUCAGCAUCAGUGUACAUAAAAUGAGAUGGAUAUUGUUUGUUUUAUAUUUUUAAAACUUUAACCUGAACAUGAGAAAAAUAAAAAACAAAACCAUGUGGUACAGUUCAAUGUUUUCAUGUGGCUGUGUUGGCUGGUUAAUGUUUGAGUUUGCUUCUCAAUCGUUCAUCUUCUCGAUCUGAUAGUUGUUCCCAGGUGUUUGGUGCCUCGUCAACAUAUGCAUGUUUAGUGGUUCUAUGCUGUAUGUUCUAUCUAGUGUUUAUGUGGAAAUUCUGUUUCUGAAUGUUGCACCAUGUACCCAGAGUAUAUAGAACUACUGAUGUAGAUCUGAUAUUUCAUUGAUUUUGUUCUUUGAAGGUUUUAUUGAUGGAAAUCUAAGAUAAUAUGUAGCAGCCUAGGGUCUUUGAGCGAAGGCGUUUUUGACAUUUCCAUGAAUUUAUUCUCAAUUCUCAUUUCUUCUUCAGUGCUUGGCUUCAUUUGCUCAUUAGGAUCAUUUUCUUGUUUUCUUAACAUUAAUCUGAUUCUGAAAAUAAAUGUAGUGAUAAGGUUUUUUGGUGAUAUAAAUGCCAUUUGAUACUAUUUCUCUCCCUCUCCCUCUCCCUUUGUUGCAAAAUAUUUUAUUGCAGCGAAGAUGUCUUUCAUUGAAAAAUGAUAUCAGUGUAACUCUUAGUUAUAUUAUUCUUAAUUCUGAAAUGUUGUUCUGGGUCUGCUAUUUAUCUAUUCAAGGGACACAAUAUACUUCUCUAAGAAUGUACAGUUUUUUUGUUUUUUUUUUCUUAUCAGCAUAACAUUUUCAUGAUGUCUUGAACAUUAAAUUGUCUUGUCUUGGAAGAAUCAAUAUUUGCCCCAACAUACUGUUAAUCAUACCUGAAAUAGUUUUCAGUUAGAUAUUAUUUAUAGUAAGAAAAAAUUAUUUUAAGGAUUAAAGUGUGGGUAUCUCCCUUAUAAUUUGUAAAGCUAUGCUUUGCAAAUCUCUGAUUAGCAUGGUAUGUACAGAGUGUAUAAACCAGUAGAAUAGAGGAUAAUUGUCACAAGGAUGAGAGAGCAAGAGCAUCCAUGGUUGUUUAAUACCAGUUAUGAUAUUAUGAGUCACUGUUAACAUUACUAAUAAUGGAGUGAAGAUGGGGAGAAGGUAGAGGUGGAGACGGAAGAGAAAGUUUAGAAAGUGAAAGAUUGAAUGGAUUGAUGGAGAAAAGUACUGGAUGAUGUCAGUGAAGAGCAAGGAAUGAAGAUGAGGGGAGAUGAGUUGUUACAUGGUUGAUUAAAUGCAAAAACUAAAUAUUGUAAAACUGCCAAGUAAAAUUAAGCAGGUGAAAAAUCAUGACAAAUGGUCUGUAGUUGGGAUGGGAAGAAAGAGCAUAGAUGCAUAUAGCUUGAGAUGCAUAUGAAAUAAAUUAAGUGUGAUCAAUAAAGGGAUAGAAUGAAAACAAAAGCAUGUGCAAAAUGGAAAAGAAAUCAAAUUGCAAAAUAAUAUAAUUGCAAAAGCAGAGGGAAAGUGCAAAUGCUGAUAAUUCUAAAUGCAAUUAAUCACAAAUGCAGGGUGUUGCACAAAGUUGAGUUUACUCUGCAAAACACAUUUUAGUUUUGUUUUUUUAGUAGUAGUGUUGUGUGUCUUGGAUUAAACAAUCCUUUGGUCAUUCUGAGGUUGGCUUCUGUUUUUUUGGCUGCAUAGGGUGCUUAGUGUGCGUUUCUAUUUCAUCAUCAUGUUAUAUUGUGCCAUGUUUCCUUAUGCAUAUAUUCUAUGUAGUGUUUUAGUGGACAUUCUAUCUCUGAAUGUUGUGUUGUUUACUCAGAUUAGUGUUUUGUUCUGUACAGAUUGCAUUUUGAUUUUUGUGUAUGAUAUUGCAACAAGUGGGAUAGGUGUAUAUUCAAGAAUAGGUCUAACAGUUGUUUUGUAGAGUUUUGUUUGUGUUCAGUGUAAGAAAUUCUUUAAUUAUAUAUUUUGCCUGUGCUUUUCUGUUUUGUUAGUUAUAAUGCUUUUCUAUAGUGAUUUAGAAUAAUUUAGAAAUAAGUCUUACACUUUCUGAAGAUUUGUAUCUUCCUUCCUGUGUUGAUAAUUGGUUGUGAUGUUAGUCUUGAGCAAUCAUGACCUGAGCAUCCAACUUGGGAGUUGUGGCAUUAAAACUCAGCUGUUGAAUUUGCUCCAGAGAAUGAAUUUAGCUUCAGGAGUGUGCAAUAUCAAAAGUUUUCACUAAAUUUACCAUUGAUGUAUUGGUGAAUCUAUUGACUAGGGUUACAUAAGUGAAACAUACCAAAUAACAUCUAUAUUUCACCAUUAAUAUAAAUGCUUUUAUAAGUCUGUUACAUAAAAUCACUACCAUAAACAUUGUAUGUAAUUUAGAUAAUAGCUUAACAAUGGCUUAUAUUAUAAUAGUUUGUGGUUCCCCUUUGGCAUAGCAGAAAUCAGAGCACUUAACCAAGUUGAAAUACCCUUACACAAUAUCACUAUGUACAGUACACUACUCCCACCUCAAAAGUAGGAUGGAUAGAAUCUCUUGAUCAUACUCUCCUCGGCUAUCCUAAUGUCACAUUGCUCCGGGUGUCACCAAUCCUUUUUGGGUUCUCCAUCCGCUUGACCUUCUGUGACAUCAUUCUUGACACAUUACCACUUCCCCCUUAAUGUUGGGCCUUUUCUCUGAUUGUGAUUAAUACCAUGGAAUACCCAAGAAUGUCUUAUCUUUUACCAAGUUAUUCGUUAUGAUCUUUAAUCAUGGUUGAUUAUCGGCUUUCAAACAUUCCACUAAUGAUAUAUGUUUUUCAUAUCUCAUUUUUCAUAUCUGAGGUUACUCAGAAAAUGGGUAACCUCAGAUAACUAUUUUUUUUCUAAUAUUUAUUUUACACUAUUACAAAACCUUUUGUACAGUUUACAUGGGGUAAUCUAAACCAAGUGAUACUUAAUAUUAAUGACAUAAAUAUUCAUGAUUACAUUAUAAAGGGUGCUCAUUGCUUAUAUUUUUAAACCCUUGUAUAAGUAAGAGUGAUUAUUUAGGUUAGUGAUUUGUUGAUUAUUAUAUAUUGUAGGAUAUUCAAUUAUAUAUUUUUUUUUCAUAAUACCUUUUAGGUUUUGAAAACCACUUCAUUAUGAGAAUAUCCCCAUGCUUUUCUUUUUUUCUGCUAUACUCUGUUUGCUUUUAGCAAAUAGUUUUUUGUAUUGAAUUUGAUUUUCUUUGUUUGGUCUCUUCCUCCAAUCACUAAGUUUUAUUUUUGUCUUAUCAUUUCAUGAUGAGGUUUAUUAGGUUUAUUCUUUGAAUUAUUGUUUUUAAAUCUGAAACCUAUCCCUGUAGUUUUUAGCCUGUUUGUUAAUUCUUUUAUUGAUUUAAGGUUUUCUAUAGUUAAAUCCUUGAUUGUACCUUGCUAUAUAUUCCAACCCUCUGGUGUUAAAUUCCAUUCUAUUUCUUUCCUAUAUGAUUAUUUUUUAUACAAUUUUACCUUUUUAUGAUUAUAGUCAAAUGAUCACUUCCUGGAUGAUUCCCUGGUGUUUUUUCUAAGUGACAAAGAAUUGGAGAACCUACAAUUAGAUCUAAGGUUGACUCUUUGCUUGUAUGAGAUCAUUUUUUUUGUCAUGGAGGAGUUGGGAGCAUUAGUGUUUUUAGUAUAAGAAUUAAAAUAGAUUAUGUCCUGAUGUAUUGAUUAUUUUUUUAUUCAUAUUCUUAGUCUAGA